This 492-nucleotide ribosomal RNA is filed under the name uncultured bacterium. RNAcentral describes it as "partial 16S ribosomal RNA". It matches the Rfam family "Bacterial small subunit ribosomal RNA", at positions 29 to 507 of the family's 1533-position model. The record is from RNAcentral.
AGUGAACGCUGGCGGUAGGCCUAACACAUGCAAGUCGAACGGCAGCACAGUAAGAGCUUGCUCUUACGGGAGGCGCGUGGCGGACGGGUGAGGAAUACAUCGGAAUCUACUUUUUCGUGGGGGAUAACGUAGGGAAACUUACGCUAAUACCGCAUACGUCCUACGGGUGAAAGCAGGGGAUCUUCGGACUUUGUGCGGUUGAAUGAGCCGAUGUCGGCGAAGAUAGUUGGCGGGGUAAAGGCCCACCACGGCGACGAUCCGUAGCUGGUCUGAGAGGAUGGAUAGAUAGACUGGAAGUGAGAAACGGCCGAGACUCCGACGGGAGGCAGCAGUGGGGAAUAUUGGACGAGGGGGGAGAGCCUGAUCCAAGCAUACCGCGUCAGUGAAGAAGGCGUUCGGGUUGUAAAGCCCUGUUGUUGGGAAAGAAAAGCAGCAGGUUCAUACCCCGCUGUUCUGACGGUACCAAAAGAAUAAGCACCGGCUAACUUCGUG